UCGACCGCCUGGGGAGUACGGCCGCAAGGUUAAAACUCAAAUGAAUUGACGGGGGCCCGCACAAGCGGUGGAGCAUGUGGUUUAAUUCGAUGCAACGCGAAGAACCUUACCUGGUCUUGACAUCCACGGAAGUUUUCAGAGAUGAGAAUGUGCCUUCGGGAACCGUGAGACAGGUGCUGCAUGGCUGUCGUCAGCUCGUGUUGUGAAAUGUUGGGUUAAGUCCCGCAACGAGCGCAACCCUUAUCCUUUGUUGCCAGCGGUC
This 262-nucleotide ribosomal RNA is filed under the name Escherichia coli. RNAcentral's name for it is "partial 16S ribosomal RNA". It matches the Rfam family "Bacterial small subunit ribosomal RNA", at positions 865 to 1126 of the family's 1533-position model. Lineage: Bacteria; Pseudomonadati; Pseudomonadota; Gammaproteobacteria; Enterobacterales; Enterobacteriaceae. The record is from RNAcentral.